RNAcentral lists this ribosomal RNA (376 nucleotides) under Strombidium sp. Its description in RNAcentral is "partial small subunit ribosomal RNA". It matches the Rfam family "Eukaryotic small subunit ribosomal RNA", at positions 582 to 975 of the family's 1831-position model. The record is from RNAcentral. Lineage: Eukaryota; Ciliophora; Spirotrichea; Strombidiidae.
AUUCCAGCUCCAAUAGCGUAUAUUAAAGUUGUUGCAGUUAAAAAGCUCGUAGUUGGACUUCUGGCAGGGCGCCGCGUGCCACAGUAGUGCGCACAAGGGCCCGGCCAUCCUUCUGUAAACGUCGGGGAAGUUUAUUCGUCCGCGGCGGGAUCAGUUAAUUUACCUUGAGAAAAUUAGAGUGUUUCAGGCAGGCGUAGCCGGAAUACAUUAGCAUGGAAUAAUGGAAUAGGACUUAGUCUCUUUGUUGGUUCGAGGGACUGGAGUAAUGAUUAAUAGGGAUAGUUGGGGGCAUUAGUAUUUAUUAGCUAGAGGUGGAAUUCUCUAAUUUGAUAAAGACUAACGUAUGCGAAAGCAUUUGCCAAGGAUGUUUUCAUCA